UUGGGAAUACAGGGAUCUACAAAUAUUCCUUUCUCAAGUGAUUCCGAUGCUGGUUGAUAGUCCACCGAGACAAGUGAUUCCCUCAAUGCUUCAAAUGCAGCAUUCUGGCCAAAAUGAAGAAAGCUAUGGCUGUAGAUGCUGUAAGUAAUAUUCCCAAACUUAACAGUGCGUGAGAACUCAGGAGGCAUUGGAUCAUUUGAAACAAAAGUUACCUGAGCAGAAGCUCCACCAAGUUCAAUAAUCCCAGUUGUUUCACGAGGAUCACCUCCAAGAGUACCCAUUGCAUAGUUGGCAACAACCCAAGCAUAUACCCCCUC
Molecule: unclassified non-coding RNA, 317 nt
Filed under: Hevea brasiliensis (rubber tree)
Lineage: Eukaryota; Viridiplantae; Streptophyta; Magnoliopsida; Malpighiales; Euphorbiaceae
Source: RNAcentral